Molecule: long non-coding RNA, 587 nt
Filed under: Mytilus galloprovincialis (Mediterranean mussel)
Lineage: Eukaryota; Metazoa; Mollusca; Bivalvia; Mytilida; Mytilidae
Source: RNAcentral
UUUGACCUUUGUCAAGGUCAUUAGUCCCCAAUGUGAUUGCUGAAGACCCCAUGGGUCUAGGACCUUUGGUUAUAUAGUAAAAGCUGAUUUUGUCUUUUCAGAAACCUAAAACAGGGGUUAUGCCCCUUACAAAAAGGUCAAAUCUCUUCGGUCAAAAUGUAACAAAGUUGCGCCGUAAUGACCCAAACAUUUUCCACUAUUUAAAACUUCUGUAAGUUUAAUGGUUGCUGAGAUUAUCCGGUAACAAGGUGUUAGGUCAAAGGUCAAGGUCAACAUACACAUUUGACCUUGAGGUAUUUUUCAAAGUCACAUGAAUUGAUGAUGAAUGGUGAAGAUCCUAGGUGUCUACGACUUACGGUUUCUGAGUUUGGGUGGCCAACCGACACCGGUUAAUUUUAAUAGGGGCAUAACCCUACCAAUGAGUUGUUGAAUCCUUUCGAUCCAAAUGUGACGAAGAACCGGGGUCUGGUCCUGAACAAAUUUCACCCUUUGUUUUUUUUUCUACCUAUUACGGUUACGGUGUUGGAACGGUAACAAGGUUUUUGGGUUUCGGAGGGAUUACUCCGAACCGACAAAAUAUUUCGACU